Cavia porcellus (domestic guinea pig) is the source of this 3380-nucleotide long non-coding RNA. RefSeq lists it as uncharacterized. The transcript is spliced from 2 exons. NCBI's taxonomy places the organism in Eukaryota, Metazoa, Chordata, Mammalia, Rodentia, Caviidae. The record is from RefSeq and is a predicted model, not a curated record.
GCAGCGGGCACUGAGGCCCAGGCUGUGGUUCCGGAUCCAGGGACGGAUGUACAUGCUUGCGCUGCCGCCGUAGAGACUGACCCAGGUCCCAUCUCUCGUACAGCUGUCUGCCGCUCUACUCCCGAGCUCUCCCAGAAUAAGAUACCCAGGGCCCUGGAUUUUGAGAGAUCUUCCCUAAAGAAGACAAUAGUGCCUGCCUCUAAUCCUAGCACUAGGCUGAGGCACGAGGAUGGCUACAAUUUCGAGGCCAGCCCCUGCUGCAUAGUGAGCACAAAGCCAGCCUGGACUACAUAGCGAGACCUUGUCUCAGAACAUCAACGAAACAAAACACAAAACAUCACACACUCCAAUAAAUAAAAGUUCAUACCUAACAGAGUCACCUUUGUCUCAGGGCUAACUUUGCCUCACCCCUUUCUGUUCUGAACUCUGCUGGGCAGAGAAAUCAAGAGAGAACAGCAUCUCUAUGGGAAGAAAAGAAGGGGCACACAUGCAUGACAGUGUUUGUAAGGACACACAAAAAAUAUCCAGAGUUCUAGGUGGAGCUCAGGUGGGGGCAGACUGAGGACUCCUCAUUUUCUUCCUACUUCAAGCUAGGUUGUUUAUUUCUCUAUUUAGGGUCUCACUCUGUAGUUCAGGCUGGCUUUGAACUCACUGUGUACCCUUGGCUGGCCUCCAAUUUGAGUCAGUUCUCCUGUCUAACCCUCCUGAGUGUUGGGAUUUAUGGAUGUGCAUCCACACCUGGCUCUGGCCACUUGUUUGUGUGUAUUUUUGAGACAGGGUCUUGCUAGUAACCCAGGCUAGCCAAAUGCUGGGAUUACAGGCAAGUGCCUUAGCCACUUCGAUCUUGAAGUUUCUGAUGAGUGGAUGAAAAUGAGAAUGUACAUAAGGGUUCUUCUUUGAAAGAGAUUAGUUGCUAGUUGAGGUGUGGGGCAUGGGUGUGGGAGUACACACCUAGUCCCUGAAUGUAGGGAGGCUGAGGCAGGAGGAACACCUCUAGUUCAUAGCCUGGGCUACAUAGCCAGACCCUGUCUCAAAAAGUAAACAAGAAGAGAAGGCGUGGGACACGUAAACCAGGUACAGUGCUUAGCUCACUUCCUUGACAAAUGCUUUUCAGUUGCCUAAAGGAAAAACCCAAAUUUCUUGAGUCUUUGGAACUCUGCCUUUGCUCUGUUCUCUGCCUUGAGCACUUACUGUACCCUCACAUCCUGCCUCACUGCAUUCAGGCCUCCCACGGAUUGGGCAAGUGCACCAAGCCAGAGCUGUGGCCUCAGGCCUUGUUUAUAGUCUUUCUGUCCUACUUUACUGUGUCCCUCCUAGAAAUCCUGGUCCAUGUCAUUAAGCUGCCCAGACUGGGCUGUAAUUAAUCCUCCUGGCUCAUCUUCCAGAGUGCGGGGGAUUACAACUGUGCGCCACCACGCCCAGCUAGGUCAUGAGUGUAAAAUCACACUCAGUUCCUACUGUAGUGGCAUCGUGGGAGCUCACAUGGCCACCAUCCUGGGCAGUGAAUCACAUCUCUGUCUUGUGCACCCAAACUAUGCACACUGGGUCCCCAUUUGCCAGUGGGUAAUCUUCGUUCAGAUCUGCUGCUGUGGUAUCUGUGCCACAGCUCUCAUUUCACUUCAUAAUGAAUGAAUGACGUGAAAAAGCAGUGAUGCUGGUGACAGUGACACGCCAUGACAUGCUUUCUUCAGGUUUGAUGGAGGUGAUAGUGCAAGGGGAUCUUUGGAGAGUGAUUCAGUUCACACCCAUUUGACUACAGCGUAUUGUUAUUGGUAGUUAAUCUCUUGUUAAUCUCUUACUGUACCCAGUUUACAUACUGAACUUUAUCCCAGGGGUGCAUGUAUGUACAGGUACAGGAAAAACAGCAUUUAUAGGAAUCAGUGCUCCCCAGGGUUCAGCAUCCUGAUAAAGAGUGAGGCAGGGGCUGGGUACAGUGCCUACCUGGCAAGUGCAACAACGUGAGUUCGAUCCCUGGUACGUAAAAAUAUAAAAAUAAAAAUAAAUAAAGAGUGGGAUGGAGUUACAAGUAUGCGCGACUUGUUACAGGGACAUGACAAAGAUGAGAGAAAAAAUAUUUCUCCAUAAGAACACAAAUACAGGGUUGGGGAUAUAGCUCAGCAGCACAGCACCUGCCUGGCAAGUGUGAGGUUGUGAGUUUGAUCCCUUGUACCAAAAAAAAAAAAAAAAGAGAAGAGAAAAGAACACAAAUACAUGCCUGCCCAUCAAGUAUGAGGUCCUGAGUGCUAUUUCUAGUACCAAAAACAAAACAAAACCAAAACACAAGUACAGCUGGGCAUGGUGUAGGCAGGAGCCUCAGUUCCAGGCCAGCCUGAACUUCAAUGAGACCCUGCCUUAAAAAAAACGACAAGGGGCUGGGGAUUUAGCUCAGCGACAUAAAGCGCCUGCCUUGCAAGCAGGCAGUAAUGAGUUUGAUCCCUGGAACGAUAAAGAGGAAAAGGACAAAAAAAAAAAAAAGACAACAGGCCAGUGAUAUAACUCAGUGGCAUAAGCACCUACCUGGCACGUGCAAGGUCCUAAGUUUAAUUCCCAGUACCAACAACAACAACAUACACAACACAAAAAGACCCCACAAGAACAACCACACAAGAAUGAGGGAGAAGGAUCUUAGUCUCAUCACAAUGAUUGGCCCAUAACUCAACACCAGAAAGUGUUUGCCUCCUACAGAGCCAGAAAAGUCUCGAAAUAUGUUCAGAUUCCACAGUGCCAAGGGUGGCCCCCUGCCUCCCUCCACACUAGAGAAAGGUCACCAUCCCUCACAAGGUGAGGGUCUCCAAUCCAUCUACACUUUGGGAAGGUGGGCCAAAGCCACAUGGGGUGGGGCUAGUCUCAGGCUGCAGCUGUACAGGGAUGGAACUGAGGGGACCAGCCCCCUCUUAGCGACCUGUGAUGUCACUGCCAUGGAUCCUACUUGGUGUCUCACUUUCCAGGAGAAAAGAAGAGGGAAGGGCAUGGAGAAGGGUUCUAGGGCCCAAGGAUGAGGGGGCUCAUGAGGGAACUGGUACUUAGUAUGUCUUACUGGGUGCAUAUAUACAAUGCCUCACUGAAACUGCUGAAUACCUUAAGAGGCAGGUGCUGGUGUCCAGGACAGGGCAUAGUAAACAAUACUUUCCUUGGAAAUAAGCAGAAUGUGACUGUGGCUGUGGCAUUUGUGUGACCCUGGGCAAAUUUUUUGGCCAGGUACUGAGGGUUGAACCUUGGGCCUUUGCACUGAGCUACAUACAUCUCCAGCCCUUUUUAAAAGUGGUGUCUUAGCCUGCCUUGCAAGCAGGCAGUCGUGAGUUCAAUCCCUGGUACCGAUAAAAAGGAAAAAGGACAAAAAAAAAAAAAAAAAAAAAAAAAAAAAAAAACCAAGGUAAAAA